AGAUGUCAUGUGGCCUGCUAUACAAGGCUGCAUGUAGCCGGUGGGUAUGGGCCUUAUUAUGUACUAAAACCUAAGUUAAAAGAAAAUUUGGGACAACCUGAAGUGACACUUCUCCACAGAUGCUAACUCAUCGUUGAUGACAUUGUUAAUACAGGUAGCCUGAUCAGCCAAUUUAUCUUAGGCUUAAACAAGUCACACCAUGUAGUGGAAUGGGUCAUUAGGAUUCGGGCAAUUCUACAG
Non-coding RNA from Pelobates cultripes (western spadefoot toad), 240 nucleotides. Lineage: Eukaryota; Metazoa; Chordata; Amphibia; Anura; Pelobatidae. The record is from the annotation of a GenBank genome assembly.